This 440-nucleotide ribosomal RNA is filed under the name uncultured bacterium. RNAcentral's name for it is "partial 16S ribosomal RNA". It matches the Rfam family "Bacterial small subunit ribosomal RNA", at positions 338 to 795 of the family's 1533-position model. The record is from RNAcentral.
ACUACGGGAGGCAGCAGUGGGGAAUAUUCCACAAUGGGGGAAACCUUGAUGCAGCGACGCCGCGUGAGUGAAGAAGUAUUUCGGUACGUAAAGCUCUAUCAGCAGGGAAGAAAAUGACGGUACCGGACUAAGAAGCCCCGGCUAACUACGUGCCAGCAGCCGCGGUAAUACGUAGGGCGCAAGCGUUAUCCGGUUAUACUGGGUGUAAAGGGAGCGUAGACGGCAGCGCAAGUCUGGAGGGAAAUCCCAUGGCUUAACCAUGGAACUGCUUUGGAAACUGUGCAGCGAGAGUGAAGGAGAGGUAAGCGGAAUUCCAAGUGAAGCGGUGAAAUGCGUAGAUAUUAGGAGGAACACCAGAGGCGAAGGCAGCUUACUGGGCUGAAACUGACGUUGAGGCUCGAAAGCGUGGGGAGCAAACAGGAUUAGAUACCCGAGUAGUC